AGUGAACGCUGGCGGUAGGCCUAACACAUGCAAGUCGAACGGCAGCACAGUAAGAGCUUGCUCUUACGGGUGGCGAGUGGCGGACGGGUGAGGAAUACAUCGGAAUCUACUUUUUCGUGGGGGAUAACGUAGGGAAACUUACGCUAAUACCGCAUACGACCUACGGGUGAAAGCAGGGGAUCUUCGGACCUUGCGCGAUUGAAUGAGCCGAUGUCGGAUUAGCUAGUUGGCGGGGUAAAGGCCCACCAAGGCGACGAUCCGUAGCUGGUCUGAGAGGAUGGUCCGCCCCACUGGGAACUGGACACCGGCCAAGGUCCCAAGGGGGGGACGAGGGGGGGAAGUUUGGAAAUGGGGGGAAACCCGGUACCACCAUAACCCGGGGGGGGAAGAAGGCCUCGGGGUGGGAAGCCCCUUUUUUGGGGAAAAAAAGCAGGAGGGUUAAACCCCGGCGGUCCGACGGUAACCAAAAGAAAAGGAACGGCUAAAUUCGUG
This 492-nucleotide ribosomal RNA is filed under the name uncultured bacterium. RNAcentral's name for it is "partial 16S ribosomal RNA". It matches the Rfam family "Bacterial small subunit ribosomal RNA", at positions 30 to 507 of the family's 1533-position model. The record is from RNAcentral.